This is a non-coding RNA of Anas platyrhynchos (mallard), 397 nucleotides long. The record is from RefSeq and is a predicted model, not a curated record. Lineage: Eukaryota; Metazoa; Chordata; Aves; Anseriformes; Anatidae.
UCACUUGUGCAGGGUUGCUGCGUUCCAGCUGCACUUUCUGGCUGAGCAGUUGCUGGUGGUCUGCUGAGAAGCUACGUGUGUGUGUGUGUGGUUGGGGUGUUUCCUCCGUCCGUACCUCCAGGUGCAAGCAGAUCCAGUCGUGGAGGAAAGAGUAGUUUUUGAGCAUGAGGAAGCCAACGCCCUGCUGCUGGUUGAGGGAGGCAUUGAGUUACAUCUCGCAGUAUCUGGGAGCCCUUCUGCGCUGCGGGAAGGGAGCCUUCCCAGAGGAAGCCGUGCCGCCGGGUAGUUGCAGCAUGCCCUUGAAGACUCUGCUGGCACGGGCAGGUUGGGUUAACAGCCAAAAUUUAUUGGAGGUUCCUGGCCAAAUAAUAAUAAUAAAUAAUAAUAAUAAAAAAAA